GAUGAACGCUGACAGAAUGCUUAACACGUGCAAGUCAACUUGAAUUUGGGUUUUUAACUUAGAUUUGGGUGGCGGACGGGUGAGUAACGCGUAAAGAACUUGCCUCACAGCUAGGGACAACAUUUAGAAAUGAAUGCUAAUACCUGAUAUUAUGAUUUUAAGGCAUCUUAGAAUUAUGAAAGCUAUAAGCACUGUGAGAGAGCUUUGCGUCCCAUUAGCUAGUUGGAGAGGUAACAGCUCACCAAGGCGAUGAUGGGUAGCCGGCCUGAGAGGGUGAACGGCCACAAGGGGACUGAGACACGGCCCUUACUCCUACGGGAGGCAGCAGUGGGGAAUAUUGGACAAUGGACCGAGAGUCUGAUCCAGCAAUUCUGUGUGCACGAUGAAGUUUUUCGGAAUGUAAAGUGCUUUCAGUUGGGAAGAAAAAAAUGACGGUACCAACAGAAGAAGUGACGGCUAAAUACGUGCCAGCAGCCGCGGUAAUACGUAUGUCACGAGCGUUAUCCGGAUUUAUUGGGCGUAAAGCGCGUCUAGGUGGUUAUGUAAGUCUGAUGUGAAAAUGCAGGGCUCAACUCUGUAUUGCGUUGGAAACUGUAUAACUAGAGUACUGGAGAGGUAAGCGGAACUACAAGUGUAGAGGUGAAAUUCGUAGAUAUUUGUAGGAAUGCCGAUGGGGAAGCCAGCUUACUGGGCAGAUACUGACGCUAAAGCGCGAAAGCGUGGGUAGCAAACAGG
Molecule: ribosomal RNA, 735 nt
Filed under: uncultured Fusobacterium sp.
Lineage: Bacteria; Fusobacteriati; Fusobacteriota; Fusobacteriia; Fusobacteriales; Fusobacteriaceae
Description: bacterial SSU rRNA
Rfam family: Bacterial small subunit ribosomal RNA
Source: RNAcentral